CAGCCGUAAACGAUGUGCGUUAGGUGUAUCGACGACCACGAGUCGUCGAGGUGCCGAAGGGAAACCGUGAAACGUACCGCCUGGGAAGUACGGUCGCAAGGCUGAAACUUAAAGGAUUGGCGGGGGAGCACCACAACAGGUGGAGCCUGCGGUUUAAUUGGACUCAACGCCGGAAAUCUCACCGGAUAGGACAGCAGAAUGAUUGCCGGGCUGAAGACUCUGCAUGACUAGCUGAGAGGAGGUGCAUGGCGUCAGUGACU
Molecule: ribosomal RNA, 260 nt
Filed under: uncultured archaeon
Lineage: Archaea
Description: partial 16S ribosomal RNA
Rfam family: Archaeal small subunit ribosomal RNA
Source: RNAcentral